RNAcentral lists this ribosomal RNA (251 nucleotides) under uncultured bacterium. Its description in RNAcentral is "partial 16S ribosomal RNA". It matches the Rfam family "Bacterial small subunit ribosomal RNA", at positions 525 to 775 of the family's 1533-position model. The record is from RNAcentral.
ACGUAGGUCACAAGCGUUGUCCGGAAUUACUGGGUGUAAAGGGAGCGCAGGUGGGAAGACAAGUUGGAAGUGAAAUCUAUGGGCUCAACCCAUAAACUGCUUUCAAAACUGUUUUUCUUGAGUAGUGCAGAGGUAGGCGGAAUUCCCGGUGUAGCGGUGGAAUGCGUAGAUAUCGGGAGGAACACCAGUGGCGAAGGCGGCCUACUGGGCACCAACUGACGCUGAGGCUCGAAAGUGUGGGUAGCAAACAG